Molecule: ribosomal RNA, 1092 nt
Filed under: Triticum aestivum (bread wheat)
Lineage: Eukaryota; Viridiplantae; Streptophyta; Magnoliopsida; Poales; Poaceae
Description: partial small subunit ribosomal RNA
Source: RNAcentral
AUGUUAGUGCAACCUAUCAAUGUUAUGUGUUGGAAUGUCCGGGGCCUCAACUGUCCGGAUAGACGAGCUACUGUCAGCGCCACCAUCGCUGCUUCUUCUUGCCAUAUUGUGUGUCUACAGGAAACAAAGCUUCACAAUGUCGACAUCUUCACAGCUUCCUUCUUAGGAGGGAGCAGACUCCGCAGUUUUGCGCAAAGGCCGGCGGACGACACUCGUGGAGGCAUUUUGCUGCUCUGGGACGACCACCUUGUGGAAAUGUCCAACAUCAUAGCUACCACCUUCUGCCUGUCCGCCAUGGUCCGUAUUCGUGACUCCGAUGUGCAAUACAAGCUCACCACCGUGUACGGCCCCGCGGAUUCUUCUCGCAAAGAUGCCUUCUUCGCGGAGCUUAUCAGCCAAAAACCGCCCAAUGGCAUGCCAUGGCUUGCGGCUGGGGAUUUCAACCAAAUUUAUCGUGCAAGAGACAAAAAUAAAAGGCAUGUCAAUCGAAGUAGAAUUAAUCGGUUUCGAGCGACACUGCAAAGUUGUGAGUUAAAAGAGAUACGCCUGCAAAAUAGGAGGUUCACUUGGAGCAACGAGAGGGAAAACCCGACUAUGUGCAAACUGGACUUGUUUUUUUGCAAUGUCGAGUGGGACACCACUUUCAGCACUCAUCUGCUUCACGCCCUCUCGUCCUCUCUAUCCGAUCACUGCCCGCUUCUCCUCGCAGAUGACAAGGGGCCUCGGAGGCCUAGAACCUUCAAGUUUGAAAUUUUUUGGAUUGCUAUGCCCGGCUUUAUGGAGGUGGUCAAAAAGGCUUGGAUUGAGCCGCUCGAGCAUGUUGAGCCAUAUCAAGUCCUGUUCCAUAAGCUCAAGAAGGUGGCUCUCCGCCUUUCCGAAUGGAGUAGGGGCCUUUUCUCCAAGGCAAAGGUUCACCUACACGCUGCACUAUUCGUGAUCCUACGCCUCGACAUCGCUCAAGAGACCCGACAACUCUCCCCCGAGGAGAGUGACCUUAGGGCGAGGCUUAAAAGGAGGGUCAUUAGCUUGGCCGUGCUUGAGAGAGCUCGGAAAAAGCAAAGUGCGAGAAUUGCUAACCUCAAGGAGGGUGAU